RNAcentral lists this ribosomal RNA (484 nucleotides) under uncultured bacterium. Its description in RNAcentral is "partial 16S ribosomal RNA". It matches the Rfam family "Bacterial small subunit ribosomal RNA", at positions 30 to 507 of the family's 1533-position model. The record is from RNAcentral.
AUUGAACGCUGGCGGCAGGCCUAACACAUGCAAGUCGAGCGGAUGAAGGGAGCUUGCUCCUGGAUUCAGCGGCGGACGGGUGAGUAAUGCCUAGGAAUCUGCCUGGUAGUGGGGGAUAACGUCCGGAAACGGGCGCUAAUACCGCAUACGUCCUGAGGGUGAAAGUGGGGGAUCUUCGGACCUCACGCUAUCAGAUGAGCCUAGGUCGGAUUAGCUAGUUGGUGGGGUAAAGGCGUACCAAGGCGACUAUCCGUAGCUGGUCUGAGAGGGUGAUCAGUCACACUGGAACUGAGACAGGGUCCAGACUCCUACGGGAGGCAGCAGGGGGGAAUUUUGGGCAAUGGGCGAAAGCCGGACCCAGCAAUGCCGCGUGUGUGAAGAAGGUCUUCGGAUUGUAAAGCUCUUUUAGUUGGGAAAAAGGGAUGUAUAAUAAACCCUGGAUGUUUUGACGUUACCAAAAAAAAAAGCACCGGCUAACUACGUG